AGGUAAUUAGUCCAAGGUAAGACAUUUGAUUUCGGCUCAGAAAGUUGUGGUUUAAGUCCACGAUUGCCUU
RNAcentral lists this transfer RNA (70 nucleotides) under Ipnops sp. auip01. Its description in RNAcentral is "tRNA-Arg". It matches the Rfam family "tRNA". Rfam says of the family: Transfer RNA (tRNA) molecules are approximately 80 nucleotides in length. Lineage: Eukaryota; Metazoa; Chordata; Actinopteri; Aulopiformes; Ipnopidae. The record is from RNAcentral.